Molecule: non-coding RNA, 135 nt
Organism: Triticum aestivum (bread wheat)
Lineage: Eukaryota; Viridiplantae; Streptophyta; Magnoliopsida; Poales; Poaceae
Source: Rfam
CAGCUACUCCCUCCGUUCCAAAUUACUUGUCUUAGAUUUGUCUAGAUACGGAUGUAUCUAGCACUUAAAUGAGUCUAGAUGCAUCCGUAUCUAGACAAAUCCAAGACAAGUAAUUCGGAACGGAGGGAGUAGAUG